RNAcentral lists this ribosomal RNA (442 nucleotides) under uncultured bacterium. Its description in RNAcentral is "partial 16S ribosomal RNA". It matches the Rfam family "Bacterial small subunit ribosomal RNA", at positions 338 to 795 of the family's 1533-position model. The record is from RNAcentral.
CCUACGGGAGGCAGCAGUGGGGGAUAUUGGACAAUGGGGGGAACCCUGAUCCAGCGACGCCGCGUGAGUGAAGAAGUAUCUCGGUAUGUAAAGCUCUAUCAGCAGGGAAGAAGAAAUGACGGUACCUGAGUAAGAAGCCACGGCUAACUACGGGCCAGCAGCCGCUGUAAUACGGAGGGGGCAAGCGUUAUCCGGAAUUACUGGGGGGAAAGGGAGCGUAGACGGUGAUGUAAGUCUGGAGUGAAAGGCGGGGGCCCAACCCCCGGACUGCUCUGGAAACUAUGUGACUGGAGUGCAGGAGAGGUGAGCGGAAUUCCUAGUGUAGCGGUGAAAUGCGUAGAUAUUAGGAGGAACACCAGUGGCGAAGGCGGCUCACUGGACUGUAACUGACGUUGAGGCUCGAAAGCGUGGGGAGCAAACAGGAUUAGAUACCCUUGUAGUC